Nicotiana tabacum (common tobacco) is the source of this 648-nucleotide non-coding RNA. The record is from RefSeq and is a predicted model, not a curated record. Lineage: Eukaryota; Viridiplantae; Streptophyta; Magnoliopsida; Solanales; Solanaceae.
UUUACAGUUGGCAUUUCUGAUUUUUAGGAGAAAAUAUUCUCUAUUAUUCCUACCCUUAUGCAUUUUUCUUACACUCUAUAUAAAGAAAUAACCCUCACUCAUAAGGGGAGGAAUUCUUUUCAACAUAUUCACUCUCAAAAUAGGCACACACAAAUACUUAGACAGAAAAUUUCAGAAUUCAAUCUGGAUCUUCUCUACUGAUUUUAACAUCAGAUUUCUGCUGGAAUUUACUGUUUUGGUUGUUGAGUUUGCUUAUUCUUUGAAUCAAGCUGUUGUGAGAUUCUGGGUUUAGUUGUCCCCAAAUUCAGAGAUUUAUCUUUUUGCCCUUGUGUUCUUUUGCUCCUUGCUGUUUCUUAGGUCAAAGCUAGGCAGUAAUUAAAUUUGAUCACCAAUUGAUCAAAUCUAUCACUGAUUAGAUUUCAAGCCAACCGGGUAGUAAUGAAGGGAGUAUCAGGAUCCCUGCUGGUUAAAUCAAUUAGCCCAGACGGGGUCAGAAUCAGGCCAUAACACUUCACAUAAAUGUAAUUUAUCUAGUGCAUCAAGUGCAAUCAGUAGGACUAUGCAAUGUCAUUUCUUAUUAUUAAUUAUAAUAUAAUUGAAGUCUGUCGUAUGAGUUUCUAUCCAUAUUAUACAUUUUUCUUUUGGUUA